CGCCACUGCAUUCCAGCCUGGGCAACAGACUGAGACCCUGCCUCAAAAGAAAAAAAGAAAAAAAAAAAAGGAGAGCGCGUACUGUUGCGGAAGGGGCACUGCUCGAGAAACAGAGACGAAGGGAUGAUUUUCAAGUAAUCAAGACACCGAGAAAGACAAGAUUGGGGAUGGAAGAGCAGUAAGAAUUAAUGGAGACGUCCAAGAAUUGUAGUUCGGGCGCGGUGGCUCAUGCCUGUAAUCCCAGCACUUUGGGAGGCUGAGAGUAUCGAGCUGUCGCCCAGGCUGGAGUGCAAUGGCAUGAUCUUGGCUCACUGCAACCUCUGCCUCCCGCGUUCUAAGUGAUUCUCCUUCCUCAGCCUCCCGAAUAGCUGGGAUUAUAGGCACGCACCAUCAUGCAUGGCUAAUUUUGUAUUUUUAGUAGAGAUGGGGUUUCCCCAUGUUGGCCAGGCUGGUCUCGAACUCCUGAUCUCAGGUUAUCCACCCGCCUCAGCCUCUCCAAGUGCUGGGAUUACAAGUGUGAGCCACCGCACCCCGCCCUAAUCUCAGCCUUUUUAUAUCUUCUUGGUAGGCCCACUUUUUGGCAUCCCCUAACAAGAAGUCCUCAGAGAUUUUUACUACUCAACAUGUGUGCGUCCCACUCAGAUGUAUUGUGUUCUUUCUGUUCACCCUCUACUUCCCAUUCCAUUUCUUCCUCUGACUUAGGGUUAGAAUGGCCCAAUGAUCCUACAACUUUUUGAUGCUAUUUCAUUUGAUUCCUCUACUGUCUAAAUCACAAGUUGGCUAACUUUACUUACUGUAAGGGAUCAGAUAGCAAAUAGUUUAGGCCUUGUGGGCCAUUCAAUCUGUCAUAACUACCCACUCUGACCAUAUGUAGUGCAAAAGCAGCCCUUGACAAUAUAUAAAUGAAUGAACGUGAAUGUAUUUCAAUAAAGCUUUACUUGUGGACACUGAAA
This 953-nucleotide long non-coding RNA is filed under the name Homo sapiens (human). RNAcentral describes it as "HSALNT0366501". Lineage: Eukaryota; Metazoa; Chordata; Mammalia; Primates; Hominidae. The record is from RNAcentral.